This 159-nucleotide ribosomal RNA is filed under the name Zelkova serrata. RNAcentral describes it as "5.8S ribosomal RNA". It matches the Rfam family "5.8S ribosomal RNA". Rfam says of the family: 5.8S ribosomal RNA (5.8S rRNA) is a component of the large subunit of the eukaryotic ribosome. It is transcribed by RNA polymerase I as part of the 45S precursor that also contains 18S and 28S rRNA. Functionally, it is thought that 5.8S rRNA may be involved in ribosome translocation. The record is from RNAcentral. Lineage: Eukaryota; Viridiplantae; Streptophyta; Magnoliopsida; Rosales; Ulmaceae.
AAAACGACUCUCGGCAACGGAUAUCUCGGCUCUCGCAUCGAUGAAAAACGUAACGAAAUGCGAUACUUGGUGUGAAUUGCAGAAUCCCGUGAACCAUCCAGUCUUUUAACGCAAGUUGCGCCCGAAGCCAUCCGGCCGAGGGCACGUCUGCCUGGGCGU